UUAUAUCUUGUUCUUGAUUCAAAAAAUUUCUUAUUUACCAUAUAUUUGUUUAUUAUGCACGCAGCAUAAGUUAAACAAAUCCACACAGAGUGCCCUAUUGCUCUUAAUUAAUUAGAAAAAAUGCUUCUAGUUUUUUUCCGUAAGUCAAAGUCCUCUUUUUACAAUUCCGUUUGUUGUUCCGUUUGUUGAAAGUAUUUUGAUUGUGCGGAAAUGUUGUAAAGUUCCGUUAGUGAGGAAAUAGUAAAUUAUUAAGAAUAAAUAAACGGAUGAAGAAGUUAUAACUCAUUAUGUAACUUUUUUAUUUAUUGAGAAACGUGGUUGGCGGAAGAAAGUAUCACUUCGAAGUAAAAGUAUACUUAAUUAUGCGCGAUUUAUUCAUGCGGAAACGUUGAUUUGAAAAAAAAGUCACGUGUCAAAAUAAAUCAGCAAAAUAUAAUAAACUUGACGAGAUUUCACUGCAAGAUCCUUUUGUCAUGUGAAAGUACACAUGAAUUGUACGCCGGUGGUCCCCGAGUUUGUUUCCUGUGGUUAACUUAUGUUUAAAUUCUUAUGGAACAAUAAUUUAUAAUUUAAUAAAAAGGGGGUUAAACGGGCGUAAAAAGAGAAGUCUUUAUAGA
This is a non-coding RNA of Hydra vulgaris (swiftwater hydra), 617 nucleotides long. NCBI's taxonomy places the organism in Eukaryota, Metazoa, Cnidaria, Hydrozoa, Anthoathecata, Hydridae. The record is from RefSeq and is a predicted model, not a curated record.